Molecule: long non-coding RNA, 37874 nt
Filed under: Triticum aestivum (bread wheat)
Lineage: Eukaryota; Viridiplantae; Streptophyta; Magnoliopsida; Poales; Poaceae
Description: long non-coding RNA (TAES_LNC003865)
Source: RNAcentral
AGCAGUAUACUACAUAACCACAAUAAUUCAUUUGGAUUAGUGACUUCACCCACAAUAAGUUCAUUCUCCUAGGGAAUUACAUGACCACAAGAAUGUCGUAAGACUAACUCACUAAAGAACGUACAGUGCAAAUAAAAUUGCAGCAAAAGGUGUCCGGUCUCGAGUUUCUAAGAUGAACGAGACAUUUUUCUGGGCGGGAGUGCAUCAACGUAGCAAGGACGGUAGGGGAAUGCAUUGCCUAUGCCUCUAGCAUGUUGGUGAUGUUUCUCAGGAUAUAUGUAGCCUCCUAGAUACUGCAUUCUGGAAGAAGGAGGGGACCCCGCUGGCGGCGGCUAGGGUUUCCUCCCAGUCAUGAGCGGGGCGACACAAGAGGAGGGGGGAGGAGGAGUAGAUUGUCAUCAUGACCGGAAUGAGACUUUUCUGUGUAAGACCUGCACCCUUCUUCCCUGGGACAAGGUAGUAAAAUGCCGGUCCAAAUCUAACAAAUUUGUUGUUGCCUUGUAAUACCACGGUUCAGAUUUUAAAAUUGAAAAAUCUGUUAACUGCAUCAUAUGAAACCACAGUUCAGAAUUAGACGUCGCAUCCAUGGCAACAACAUACACUGGAAGCUCUCAUUGAUGUAAGUUUUUUUCAAUUUUAAAACAUAGGAGGGAGUGGCGCCUCAGCCGUCGCAGGAGAUAGCCUGCCCAGAGCAACCUCUGCACGCUCCAGAAGGCUCCCAGCCCGCAGCAGCCAUCCGUGCAUUGAAUCAACCACAUCACUCAGAGGCUGAAUCGCCUUCGCCAUCUGCAAGGAAGCCAUGCCUUGCAGCUCAGAGCGUAGCAGCUCGGCUUGCGCAGUAAAGAUAGACUGAAGUGCCACAUGAGCUGAGGCUGUAGAACCAGCAGAAGAAGAAACAACCGACGCCCAGGAGUCACGUUGGAUCGCCUUGGAGGGAAGCGUGGCAUUAGAUUGGGCUUGACAUGAAGGUGGAUGAAGAUGAUGAAUGGUGUCGAGGCGGGACAAUGACGAAGCAAAAGGGUUAUCGAGCAAGCUGAGGGGACGCCAAGCGUUCCGACACUCACGGGCCCGAUGGCCGUUCCCCAGGCAGUGAGAGCACCGAAAGGGAUCCCUGCACUUCGCUGCACGGUGUCCAGUAACAAGACACCUGCAGCAUCGACCAUGGAGCCACGCAGGGAUGGGCCGAGGGGACGAAGCCGGAGCUCGAGACGCCAGACGAUGCGAAGCAUGCCGCGGCCGCACCUCCUGCCAACCCACGCAAGUAGCUGCCGCAUGUUCAGCGCUCACUCCGCUGGAGCACUUGGUAGCCAACGGCGACUGCGGCGCCAGCUCAACACCAUCCUCAUCAUCUUCGUCAUCGUCGUCGUCGUCGAGGGAGCUCCACAAAGACUGCACCAUACCCGCAGCCAAAGCAUCAGAAGCACCCGAGGCAGCCAGUAGCUUUCCAGCCCUCAGGUCAGAAGAGGGCCCAGUGACAUGACCACCGUCUCCAGCAGCAACGACAGGCGAUGUGGUAGGUGUUGGCGUCGCGAGGACCAGCUUGGAGCUUGCCGGCGACUCGGACGUGGACGGAACCUCGCGCGAGACCAGUCGCCCCUGCACGGUCGGGUCAGCCUUGCGGGAGGCGAGGGAGGCCGCGGCUAGGCCUCGCGCAGAUGGCGGCGGCAGACGGGCCGGGGCGACGCCGGCAGCAGGAGAGGCCGAGACGGCUCCCAUCGUCGGAGCAGCAGGAGAGCGAGGCCCGCCCGAAGUUCGCCGCGAAUCAGCCGCGGGAGAAGAGACACGCGCGGGAGGAGGCGCCGGAGCCUGGCCGUCACGCGCAGAGCGAACGGAGGUCGAGGCAGAGUAGCAGCAACCGGAUGAGGCCGCAGCACCGGAGGACUGCCGAGGAAGAAGCGGGCGGCGGCGCCGCGCGCCCACCCGCGAGCGCGAACGGGAGACGCCCAUCUCCUCACAUGAGGCACGCAGCAGAGCAGGGGCACCGGAUCUGGCCUCGGCGGCCGCUAGGGGAGGACGGCUGGAGCGGAUCUGGCAGCGCCGCGGGCGAACGCUCACCCGACCAUUGAUGUAAGUUAUAUAACGGUGGAUGUGAGGUUUCUACCGCUAUAAGAUAUAGUGUGUGAGGAUAACUAGAUGGAUGUUUCUGUUCAACGUCAAUUUGCCAGGAACAAAUGUAACUCUUGUUCCAGCUCAGGGAAGGGGAAGGUUGCCAACUAAAAUAUACCACAGCAGCAUAUGUAACAGAUAAACUACACCGAUGCAUGGGUACUCGAUGACCGUGGCCAUGGCAGAAACAAUUUUGCAUCGAUUUAAUGAAUUUACGUUGCAUAGAUCAUCCAGUGGCAAACUGAAAUUCUGGUAGGACCUUAUUCAUCAUGGUCCCUACCCGCUAAUUAUCAUUAUCAGUAGCAGAGGCAGAGAAAACAAGACCAGCAUUACCAUGAGCCUGGUGGUUAGAAAAAAUGGAUGCAUGUAACUUAGUUUUGACAUUGUGUAACUCACGAAUAAUUCUUUUAAAAAUAAAUGCAGUACGAAAUUCCUACUGUUUUCCAUCAAAAGAAAAAGGGUGGAAUGGUUGCCUGUGAAACUGUUGUGCGAUCAUCCCACUGUGUCAUAAGUUCUUUCCGAGCAAUGCAAGAUCAUGAGGACACCACUAUGACAAUGAAUAUAGAGGGACCCAUGCCAAUAUUCGGCUGACCACCAUGUCCGCUUCGCCACAUUGCGCGGCUCCUUGACUAGGUCAUAGAGACGCCCCGAUGAACAACGCCCCGGCAAGAACUCCCGCCUCUCCCAUUGACCGGUCCGCGACGAGAAGACGAUCAAACGCAGCACCUUCUGUGAGUGCACCUCCGGUUGCUCUUCUCCAAACAACCUGUGUAAGUACAAGUGCUCAUCGUCGACCCACCAAGUCUCCAUUGGCUCUAGGAUGUCCGCGACAGUGGGGGAGUUCUUUCUUUCGGAAAGAGGAACACCUCGUGAUGUCGCGACACGGCUGGAUCGAAGGCGAGGAACAUGCCCUUCAACGUCGCAUCUCCAUGGCGUUGGCGGAAGGGGCCUUGUUGCCGGGUUGCACACGUAGGUAUAGUGGGCAGACUCGAACACAUACUUGUCUCUGAGCAGGAGGAGGCCAUUGCAGUGCUGCUGUAUGUAGGCCUCGUAUGUGAAAGGAGGGCACACGAAAGUGGGCUCGCCGGCGUUGUUCUCCGGCGGCUGGGUGCGCCAGCCCGGCGGGGCGAAGAAGUCCUACUCUGCCCAGUACCCGUAGUAGGUCGUGAAUACGCCGGGAAACUCGCGCGGGAAGACUUGCGGGAGGAGAAGGCUGUGGGCGUCGACGAUGCCGCGCCACGCACGGCAGACAAGCCGGAACUUGGCAAGGGGGCGGCCGGGAAGGCGGCGGAGGACUUCGAGGAGCACGUCGUAGGGGAGGCAGAUGCCGUUGGCGGGGUCGUUGUUGUUUGCAUCGCCCAUCUCACUGACAGGAUAGAGGUACAAGAAACGGCAAGAUACGAUCCGCUGAUUGUUACAUAGAUAUAUACGUAGAAUCCUAACGGCAAUCGCAAUCAUAUUGUCAAUCGCCUGAAGCUUACCAUGCAAAAAAAAAAAUCACCUGAAAGAUUUGUUUCAUCUUUUUUUUUUUUGCAAUUCUUCCAUCGUCUGAUCCCACGUUCCUUCUGCCAUAUCGCAAUAUCGUUAGCUAAAUUAAACAAGCGUUUUUCUUAUGGCAGCUGUGUCAUCUUAUUUCCUUAUUUUGUCAUGACAAUGUGCUAACUACUCCCUCUAUAUUGAAAUCAUAGUGUAAAAAAAAAGUCUUAUAUUUUGAGACGGAGGGAGUAUGUACCAAAUACUAACCGUCCAGUUUGUUCGUUCGUUCAUCGAUUCAAGACUUCAGGUGCGGUAUAGAUCAUUCACAGCCAAACUGAAGUCUAGGACUGCUGUGGAGCAUAACAAGUUCUCAACAUCGAUUCAGUUUGUCGGUUAAACAACUGACACGGGUAAUAAACCUGAGACAUAGUGCUAAGGAGCGAGUGUUUCUCCCUUUUGGUAAAUUUACGUACAAUUGGUGCCUUUGUCUGGUGCUGAAUGUCCACGUGAUGCUUGUGCUGCAUUGUCGUGGUCGCGUUUUUCUGUGGUACGGUUUCGGUUGCAAGUUCUCGCGGCAAAUGAUGCCCUUUGUACCAGGGAUGUAGUCUGUCAAUUUGCUUUGAUCCUGUUUUGUUUAGUUGUGUCCUUAGGUUUUGUGCUGCUUCUUGGGCUUUGGUGUUGUUGGGUGAUGCCAUCUUUGGCGAUGCAAGGGUCAUGGUAUCGUUUGGGUUGCGCCAUGCCAUCUUCGACAUGUAAUAUCCCUUCUCUCAUCUGCAUGAUUGAAAAGAAAAAUGUACACGCACCUUGGUAAUUAAGCAUCAGCAACAUCAAGACUAAAUAAUCAUGACCAAAGAGAUUGUCCAAUGAAUGAGAUGCCUAUCAAGUAGAGGAGUUCAAUCCUGCUUAUAAUAACCAAGGCAAUCAGCAGCAUAUAUUCAUCAUAAUAAUGUAGUCCUUUGAGGGAAUUACAUAAUCAGGAGACUAGUUAAGGACAUAAAGCGAGUUAAACCGAACCCUAGUAUUUCUAACGGGCGCUUUUCCUAACAGGGAGUGCAUCCACGUAGCAUGGUCGGUAAGGGAAAGCAUUGGGCAUGCAUGCAGCUUGUAUAUGUUGACGGGUAUCAUGUGACCUAAAUAUUGCAUUCUUGAGGUGUCGAGAUGAUACGCCACCCCAGAAUCAUUGGCACAGAGGAGGAGAGCGUACUUGUGUGGAUGGAAUCCAAUAAUCCCAUACUCCCACACAAAAUGAUCCUGGUCUUUGACUUCACUCUCAUCCAACUCGACAAAAUUACGUUCAUCUGAGUUCCACGAGUGCUCAGAACCAUCAGUGCUUGCCUGUUCUCUUGUCUCACGAUCACUAUCGUUUUCUUCUUCUUCCUCCUUGUCCUCCCCCUGUUCAUCAUCUUCCUCCGCCUCUUCUUCCUCGUCUUCAUCCUCUUCUCCAUCAAUAAUCUCUUCUUCUUCUUCUUCACUUUCCUCACUGCUUUUAUGGUUAAGAUGGUACACCACUCCAUCGAUAAUCUCAAAAUCAUCCUCUAAAUCGUCAUUCUCCUCUUCUUCCUCAUUUUCAUCCUCUUCUCCAUCAAUAAUCUCAUCAUCUUCUUCAUCACUUUCCUCAUUGCUUUUAUGUUCAAGAUGAUACGCCACUCCAUGGACAAUCUCAUCAUCUUCUCCAUCAUUUUCUUUUUCCUCCAUGUUCUCCCCCUGUUCACCGUCUUCCUCCUCCUCCUCUUCCUCGUCUUCAUCCUCUUCUCCAUCGAUAAACUCAUCAUAUUCUUCAUCACUUUCCUCGCUACUUUCAUGUUCAACCAAGCUGAGUAGUUCUUCCUUGCUUUCAAUCACCUCCCAUGUACAUACUGGUUUAAAUUUCCAUUGAUCUAUCAUAUGAUAUUGUGCAUUCAAGUCCGUCUUGUGUGCCAGUGUCCACCCUAGUUGUCUAUCAGGCGAAUCUGACAGUGCCCACACAUGGAGUUGUAACACAUUGAGCACCACAUAGAAUAUCCCUCUCUCAUUGUUCGCUAAGAUGGACCUCCUGGGCAAUGUCCCAUUAUAGUAUCCCAUUCUCACAUCGCAGUCCGGGGGGUCCCUCGGGAGUUGGACUGUGUCAUACUUUCCCUCCGUGACCCGCAUAAUCAUGAGUACACCAAUGUGGCAGGGCACGUAGAGUGACCCCCGCCAAUACUCGGCAGACCACCAUGUUCGCACAAAUUCCAUAUCUUCGAUACUGAUAUCACCUUCUGUUGUCCCCACAUUGUAGGUAUUCCAUGGUACGCAGCGCCCCGACACGAACUCUUGGCUCUCCCACAAAUCGGUAAUCGAUGAGAAGACUAGCAUGCACACUACCUUUUCCUUGGGCGCAUCAGCGAAUGGCAUGAGAGAAUCAAUUUGUUCAUUGGCGUCUCUGUCAUGUUGUCCUUUUUCAGAUGGUUUCCCUUGUGCGAAUAACUCGGUCCACCAAGGCUUCCUAGGUUUUAUUUUGAUGCGGCCUCUUUGCCAUAGAGGCGGCAUCUUUUCCCUGGGAAAGUGAAACACCUGGUGAUGUCGUGACACGGCCGGGUCAAAGGCAAGGAACAUGCCCUCGACGUCGCACGGCCAUGGCGUCGGUGGGUGCGGCAAGCGGGCGCACCGCCUCGUCGUCGGGUUGCAAACGUAGACAUCCCUGACAUCCCUGAAAUAUUGUCCGUCCCGGAGAAGGAGGAGGCCGUUGCAGUGCUGCUGCACGACGGCCUGAUCGCCCCAGAUGAAAGGACGGCCGGAGCCGGGCUCGUUGGCGUCGUGCGGCUGGUGGCACGAGGAGCGCGAGGCCGGCGGGGCGAAGAAGGCGCAGUCGGACGGGCAUCCGCUGUAGGUGGUGUAGACACCGGGGAAGUCGCGCGGAAAGACGUGGGGGAGCAGCAGGUCGUGGGCGUCGACGACGGCGCGCCACGCGCGGCAGACGCACCGGGGCGCGGCCUGGGAGGCGGCGGAGGAUGCCGAGGAGGAGGUCGUAGGGGAAGCACAGGCCGUCGGCGUCGCUCGUGUCCAUCGGGGACGGUGGUGUGUCGUCGAUCGCGCGGCGCGAGGUUGCAGGAUCGGAGGGGACUUCCCGCAAAACCCUCGCGUCCGUUUUGGUAGCGGAAGUCCGGAUGAAAGGUGCCUUGGGUAUCACGGGUGAUAUACAACUCCGUACGUGUAUUUUCUUUGAGGGAAUCCUACACUGUUUCAUUGUAAAAACUAGUAUAAUGCCCGUGCGUUGCCACGGGCCUUUUAAUAUUUUUGUUGGUUGCAUAUUGAAACAUGAUGCCCUUCAAAUUUCACAUGUGUAGAAAAGAUUUCCAGUAACAGUCGACAAAUAUACUUGAUGCAAUGCAUUUCCAUUUUCCCACUUCACUUGCAUCUCCAUUAUUUCUUUUUAGUUGCAAUGUAUUAAAAAUGUAAUUUGGCAACAUAUACAUGAAGAGCAUAAAAUCAUAUACUUCCUCCGUUCUUAAAUAUAAGUUUUUUUAGAGAUUCCAAAACAGACUAUUUGCGGAGCAUAAUGAGUGAAUCUACACUCUAAAAUAUGUCUAUAUACAUCCGUAUGUAGUUUGUAUAGAAAUAUCUAUAUAGACUUAUAUUUAGAAAUGACGGGAGUACAAAAUAACCCAACACACACCUUUAAUAGUAGGCCAUAAAUUCGGAAGGCAACCUUUUACAAGGAAAUAUCACGUAUAUUUGUUGAGAUGAAUGAUCAUUAAAUUCCAUACAAUUUCUCUCCUAAGAAUAUCUAAGACAUGAAUCUUAAGAGUAAUAGUAACUGAAGAACAACAAGCAGCUAGAAGCCCUCGAUGGUGACACAACAGUUGAGGUUGGGGGUAUGCAGCUUCAUUUCUAUGAGAAGUCAAACAUUUAGGACCAAUCCGUAUAGGAAGAUGCAUAAGAAAAUAAGAGUAAUCUGAAAAUGUAAGGAUUAUAUUAUUUUGUCUUCCUGAGUCCGCUUCCCAAUGAAAUAUCUAUCAUUUCUUUUUAUUGCAAUAUCAGAGCCCCUCCACUUUCCAUUUUGUUUUUAGUUACAGUUCCAAGUCCUUCCUUCAGCAUAUGAUUAUUUCUGUAUGACUAAUAUACUUCUGCAUCUGCAUAUGAUUAUUCUUUUUUGAUAAGUUGUCAACAGUUUAGGCCAUUAACUAAUGAUAACACUGAGAGGCAAAGCGCAAUUGAGCAAAGUUUUUUUUAGCAAAGAACAACUCCGUACAAUAAAUUGGCAGGAGUCCUAGAUCCUCCGUGCAAGAUACUAUUAAGUGCUUCAAAAUAUAUAGUUCAAUGCACAUAAAAAUAAUUAAGCCACUAAUACCAUGAUGCAAUUAUUUAUUUUCUUGAUAUAGAAUAGUAAAGUACAAAAUUGACAGUUUAACAUUCAUAUGUAGAGAUAAGACUAUCCCAAAGAAAGAAGUUAUCUGAAAGGUGCACUCUAACCUGCAACAAUAAGGGGAGAACAUUAGAAACACAUAGGCUAGAUAAAAUGAUUGUCAUGAUCUUAAAUAAGCAAGCAAUAGAGCAGUGUCGUUCCCACAAAGGCAAAUGACAGAGUACAACAAAACUUGAAGUACCAAAACCAUCACAUCUUGAAAUGUGUUGUUUUCUUCAUCGACGGAUCUAACAGAAAUGAAUAGAAACCUGAUCGGGUGAAUGCUUGCAGUAUGGAACAAUAGAUCGACCAUGGGUACAAGAAAUGAAUUAAAUCCAAUAUUGAAUAAUCUCUUCACUCAUAUCUAGUGCUUUUGCAAGAAAGGAAUUAAAUUCCAUAUUGAGCAGUAGAUCUCUUGCUUUCAGCUUUACUUGAUUCUAUUGUUAACUGCAUUCCCAAAACAUAAUGCUCGCAUUCAAAAAUUUGAGUCAUCUAGCAAAACGUAGUUUAAUUUAUAAAGUUGUUGGUGCAGGCAUCCACUCUGCCUCUGAACCUCCAUUUCUCUUGUUGUCAUGGUCAUAUUUUUGCAGAAUUUUUUUAGAACCAUCAAGUGAGCUUGAGUUAGCUCAGAAGCUUAUAUGCAUCUAGAACUUUAAGUUAUACUCAAAACUCUACAGAAAGGUGAAAAAACAUGCUGGAACUAAGAACAGAUCAUGAAAUGUUGCAUAAAGUAGUGCCACACUAAAUACAGCCACGCCAUGGCUGAGAAAUCAGCUGCACAAACACCAAACUGUUUUGGUAAUUAAAUUAUUCACUAUUUCAAAUCGUAGAAGGGGGAAACGCAUGAAAGACAAACACCAUAGAUGACAAAUAAAACCUGCAACGCUUUCGUUGUAGACCCCCAAGCAGCACUUGAAACUAAAACUUGCACAUACCGCAAUCCACAUCCCAACAAAUCAUGCUAGUCUAGUACACAAAAGCUCCAUGAAGAAAGGCAUUAACUGUAAUAUAUUCAGAAGUUGUCCUGUGUAGCCAUGAGAUUAAUGAGAUAAGAAAUCACGAGUACAGCCGAGGUUUCAGAAAAAUAGUACGGAAUCACCUUCCUAGGCCUGAUGCCUCCAGCUGCAGGUAGUAGUGCGAAAGAGAUAGAUGCCAAGGAUGACAAGUGACAUCAUGCAAGCCAUUUUAGAAAUUGCUCCAUACCUGCAUACUACAAGAUCCUUCAGCACCAUCUGUAAUGGCAUCAGAUAUCUGAACAGUAGAAGCAAUAUGACAGAUUAAGAACUUGGUAACAUUAUAUGUGGAACCAAGGCCAUGUACCUGAUUAGUCACACGCCCCUGCCACCUGUCGGAUCCACACGAUAGCUCUGCGUACCAGUGAGGAUCCGAUGAUGUCAUUGCCUAGCUUCAUAGGAGGGAUCCUACAGCCACGCUUGCGCCACACCUCAUCACAACUGUGUCAUGGCGUCUUGUCCAAGACGAGGGGGAAAUCCGCCAGUCCCGUUUCCUUAGCCAUGACCUUCGCUGGUAGAGACCUGACUCUACUAAAAUCUCUAAUAUAUGACUUAAAAGGCAAUAGAAUCAAACAAUAGAAAGGGAAAAAAAUAAAUUGAUUAUCACCAUGGUGAAUGGAGUAGAUGUAACCAUAUUGUAGUACAUCUUAGAGCCGGUACAGAGGAUCACGAUGACAUAUUCAUGGCUAAGAAAAUAUAUGAUUCUGGGCAAGGUACAACCAUGCAUACUCCUUUGCUCCAUGUUCAUCUAAUUCAUAUGCUAAUGUAUAAGCUGACUGUCAAUGGAGCAAAUAGAGAACUAUGUGCAGGAGCUGAACAAUAAUUCUCAAGCUGAAGAACAAAUACCUCAAGAGAGGAGCAUAAUGGAGCAGCAGUUCUGGGGAGCCCCUCGCCUCAUGGAGUGGCGCAGAGGUAGGCUCCUCGCCCCGGCGACUGCGUGGUCCUCGCCUUAUGGAGGUGUGCGACGGUGCAGUGGCGUCGUCAUCCUCCUCACCUCCGAAUUAGUCUGAAGUUUCUAAAAACAUUACUCUCAAAAUCAAUAUUAAAUGAAGGCGAUCUUUUAGUUCUAACCAUUUCCCAAACAAUUUAAAAGACUGAACACUUGGGCAAAUACACGAUGGUUUCGCUGUUACUACCCACGAGUGCUCACUUCAGCAAAUUUCAGCUAAACAUACCCAAGACUUCACUUGCAAUCAAUUGUUCUGUUUUGAUCCAAGGUGAGCUAUAGUUGUUCAAUUCCCUGGACAUAGUUUGCUCAUAGCAACCUUCAUGGCUCUGUUUUGAUCUACAGAGCCUCGGCACACUAAUGAACCAGAUAACAACCUUGAGACAUACAAAUUAUCUCAAUCUACCUACCUGUCAAGAUGGACUUUGGCGCCGGCCCACUGAUCAUAUUUAGGAACUCAGAAAAUAUACCCACUCGAAACUCUCAACUUGCUCAUACCUCAUAAAAAGUCCAGCUAAUAUAAUGCUCUGGAAAUGAUUGUUCACUUCUAUAAGAAGGUUGAACGGCAUGUCCUACAUGUUGGUUCGUUAUGAAUCAAUUGUUGUCAUUCGCGCGCAACAACCUGAUCAACGACCGUCACUGACAUAUGCAAGACCGACGGUUCUCUGCCUCUAGCUUCCCCUGCAUUAACAAAUCGGAACACCAUUAGGUCCAUAGUCUAUGAUGUAAUUACAAAUGGUGACAUUAUUCAGCAAUAAAGUACGCAAGACUCAGUGAACACCGCAAAACAAUCUCCUGCAUGGAUUCACUCUCCUAUGCGUUUAGUUUGCUCUUCCCAUAACGUAUACCAAACUGUUCCGGCCAAACUUGUAGAACAAUAAUUUCCUGAUUGACUGCUCAUAUUCACUCUUUUACGAAGCUUGCCAAGUUCUGUCUGGAGGUGCACUACCAAGGCGAAGCCUGAAACCACUUCUUCAGUUAACAAACCAAGCGUAAAUGAGGAGCUCCUGGUCGGAGAAAGCAUACCUCCGUCGUGGGAACCAUGCCGGGGAGCUCCUGGUCGCCGGGUUGCGCGGCGGCUGCCGCGGCCCCCUCCUGCCGGUGGUAGAGGCAGCAGGUGACCCAGAGCAGCGCGGCCGCCUCGGCCUCCGCGAGCGCGAGCAGGCCGAGGAGGAAGCCCGCCAGGAACCCUGCGGCAGCCAUCCCGGGCUGAGCUCCUGACGGCGAAGGAGACAACGUUGGGGGGUAGGGAGGCGGGCACGGGUUAGGGUUUGGAGGGAGAGGAGAGGGGUGAGGCGGGAGGAGCAAGACGGCAGAGGAUUCUGCGGCGGCGGCGACGAUGGCAGCGAAGGAUUUUGCAGCGCGGGCGGCGACGGCAUCCACACCCUAGGAAAUACGAGGGAGAGGCAGAGGGGUGGCGGGUUUGGGUCAUGAGGCAGGCAGGGCGAGGGGCGGCGGCGGCGGCGGAAGGCGGGAGGCGGCGGCGGCGGAGGAAGGCGGAGGAAGGCGGCGGAGUGGGAUAUGAGGGAAAGAGAAAAGGGUUGAUCGAGAGGAGGGGCGAGAGGAGCGUGCGUCGAGGGGAUCGAGAGGAGCCUAGGGUUUUUUAGUGCGUGGGGGAGGACAUAAAAAACCAGCGAAAAACCCCCGGAAGAAGUAUCAUAGAAGUACCAAAAAAGGCCGAGUGAGGUGGGACGAAAAUAAAAUCCGAAACGCGACCUACCAACUGAGACAUUAGGAGUAGAGAAAAGGAGAGAGAGAGUAUUCUACAUGGUCGCUAACAUUUAGAGUUUAGUUGAGCUAAGACUAAGAGCUAGAGAGAGGCUCCUCGGACUUGCGAAAAAGGCACACGCCCCGCUUUUUAUACAUAAAACAACGAACAAAAUAAAUUCAACCCAUACAACUCGACCACACCACACACUCAAAGCAGGAUCCAAGAAAAUUACAUGUAGGAAGAAAGAGCACCGCUUGAAGUUUCAGGAGCCCUCAAGCGUGAAACGACGAACUGUAUACCCGAAGCCGGCACCUUCAAGAAGGGCAUGACAUCAGAGAGCCAGCACGACACGAUCCAAGGAUCAAGGUUUCCCCCAGAGCAACAUGGAGGGCAAAGAGAAACCGCGAUGACGCCUUCAGGAAGGAGACGACUCCCAAAGGCGCCGCCGCCGUCGGCUUCGCAGAACCAGAGAGGAUUUCCACCUCGGUAAACGCUCUUCCCCUUCGAGACGUAGCACAACAAGACAUGAAGAUGUUCGCUACGCCACCAUCACCGUCGCGCCCAAUGUGGCACCUCCAGAUCACGGCAAGGUCGAGUAUGGGAGUCUCCCUUCCUCCCCAUUGAAGCACCCCUGCCACCCCGCCCCGCCACCUACGUGACGGGUAGAACCACCACCACCAGCCCAAAGGGAUCUUCCACCAGUUGCUGCACCAAAUGCAUACAUGAGGAAAAGAGGAACGGUCGAGCCCCACUAUCGCGCUGCCACUUCCGCCAGGGAAAAGCCAUCGUAGGGACGGAUCUGACCAUGCCGCGAAUGGCAGACCACCGUCACCUCCUGGACGAGCGCCACCAGCAUGAAGCCCGUCACGCAGCACCCGCACCCGUGCACCAUCACCUCCGCCGAUGCGACGCCUCUCCGUGGCGCCCUACGGCAGUACUCCGUCCAGGUUCGGUACUGAAGGCCUGCGCUGACACCCCCGUGCAUGGAGAUGAAAAAAACCCGCCGCCAGCGCGACGACCAGGCUUCGCCCUCUGGCGACGGCGAGGGAGGAGGAGGGGGGAGUUUCGGUGGAGGCGGCUUUCNNNNNNNNNNNNNNNNNNNNNNNNNNNNNNNNNNNNNNNNNNNNNNNNNNNNNNNNNNNNNNNNNNNNNNNNNNNNNNNNNNNNNNNNNNNNNNNNNNNNNNNNNNNNNNNNNNNNNNNNNNNNNNNNNNNNNNNNNNNNNNNNNNNNNNNNNNNNNNNNNNNNNNNNNNNNNNNNNNNNNNNNNNNNNNNNNNNNNNNNNNNNNNNNNNNNNNNNNNNNNNNNNNNNNNNNNNNNNNACGAGGGAGGGGAUAUGGUUUGGACCACCAAGAGGCAUCCUAUUGCAUCAAAGGAUGUAGUUCCUUGGACUUAACUCUUGAACCCUAGAAGACAUGCAUGGUUUUACAAGAGUAUUUUAUAUGAAAAAUAAUAUUGAAUUAUUCAAAAACAACUACGGAGUUAAGUUUAGGGGGGUGGGUAGGAGCAAAAAAAUUAACUCCUCAAAUUUUGAGCAGUUAAGUUUUGGGUGGUCCAAGGAGUUAAGUUUUAGGGGAAGGGUUAUAGAUGCUCUAAUGCCAUGACAUCUCGGUUUGCCGGCCAGGGGUACGCCAGGCACCCUUCACCGAGUGUUACACUCGGCAAAGCCUUUGUCGAGUCUUUUUUUACCCUUCACAUAGUAUUUUAGGUACUCGUCAUGUGCUGCAAAAUCGGCUACAUAAUUUACACAUGCAGGUGUAUCUAAUUUUGUUUCAAUUUGGAGUGGCCUUCAAAAAUUAUCUCAAUCGAGCAUGGGAUGUCCAUUCCGCUAAGGUUUUUCUUAGCCAAAAUCAAUGGUUAUUAUAUCGAUUGGCCCGAUAUGACAACCGUGCUAGAGUUUGCUCUUAGAAUCGUUAAAGGCGGUUUUCCAUAUGAUGCGAGGGUACAAUCUAAAAUUUACUCCACUAAGUUUUGACCGGACCUAGCCGAUUCUUUAUAUAUAACGGAGUAAAACUUACUUUCGGCUCGUGCAUUUUGCCGUGCUAUGCGCCCCCGCGAUGAUGGUGACCAAGCCGACACGGCUAGGAGCACACCGGACACGCUUGAAGUCGCCGGUCUUCUCAUUGCCGAUUUCCUUUUAGUCGGGGUGUUCGACGGGAGGGCACCAGCAGCGUCAGGGACCUCGUCGCGGCGCUGCCCAAGACCUCGCCGCACUGCUGCCCAAGGCCGCGCUGCGCCAGCAGCGUCAACGAUACUUCUAAAUCAAUUGAUGUCAUGUUUGUAUUCAAGUAUCCGGUUGCAUUGCCCAACUAUCUGAUCGCUGGAGGCACCAUAUGGACAGGUGAAUAGCACGGAGCUGACAACAAACAAAAUCUCUGUGUCUUGGCGACGGCGACGAGAACAUGGGGUAGUUCUUGUACCCGGAGGUGAUGGAUUACCAUAUGUGAAACACCUACGACAUGCACUUCUACGCCUCCUUCGCGCUGCUCUCCCUCUUCCUGGAGCUCGAGCUUAGCCUCCCGUCGCGGUGGAAGGACCUCAACCCCAAGUUCGUGAUGCAGGUCUACCGUGGCGUCGUCGCCUUCGCCAAGGCGGUGUGGCCGCUGGCGUACCUGGCCAUGGCUUACAUGGACCAGUCAAACGUGACAGAGGCCGCGACCGAGCUCGUCCAUGGCGGCCGCCGUAACGACGACCAGUACGGGCGUGGGGGCGGCAUCGCGCCGGGGUAGGGCGCUGGGGUAGGGUGAGGGCUUGGCUGGGGAAGGGGCGGCGGCACAGAGCUCAUGGGAGGCCCGACGGCUGAGCGCAGAAGCAGCAGGAGGAGGCGAGAGAGGUGCGAAAUUUUUACUCCAUGCGAGAGCGGUGGAGUAAAAAUAACGGAGGGACAGAGGCUGGACUAUACUUUUUACUCCCUUACGGCGGAUUAGGGAUCGGUUAGCUGCUCCUCUAGCACUGGAUAGGGGAUCGGUUAGAAAUGUCCUUAGGUGGGUUAACAUAUCGAAGAAAAAAAACAUAUCGACGCGAGGGUAAAGCCUAAAGCUAGGUGGGUUAACAUAUCAAUGCAGAGGACGGGCUCACAUGGCUCUACUCCACCCUAGCCAAAACAGGCAAAGCACGAUAUUUCCUCAACAUGGGUUCACUUCACCCAUCUCAUCUCACACAAGCCGAGUGCACGUAAGAGAUCCUGCCCGGCUAAGCCACCUCCCCGGUUCCUGCUCAUAACCAUCACCUUUCCCAUCCCACACCACACUUAGCAAGUGCUACAGAUUCUGCCCAGCCUCCUCUCCAUCGAUCGGUUUCUCCACCUCACACCUCUCCGCAGAGCCGAGCAGAGCCCAGGCAGAGAGAGGCAGGGGAUGAAGCGCAUAGUGGGGAGCCCAGGGACAUGGAGCGGCAUGGUGCUGCGUCUGUCGCAGUGCUUCUUCGCCGCCGCAUCUUCCCUUGCCAUGUGCUCCGCUUUCGGCUUCUCCAACUACAGCGCCUACUUGUAAUUUCAUUCUCCCACAACUGUUUCUUCUAUUCUUCCUUCCCCCUUUGUGUGUUUUCUUGCAAAUUCAUGAGCAAAUCACUCAAGUAGCAAGCAUAUAACUAUGUUUCAUUUUGGGUCUUUCAAGGUUUUGGUUAAAUUGCGUGGAGUUCUUCUCUUUCUUUCAAGAUUAAUUUUUAGCGAAGUUUCAUGCACAAAAGGCUAGAUGGCGUUAGUGUCGAAUACUACACAUUUUCCUUCGGUGUCAUGGCCCAAUUUUUUGGGGAACACAUGGAUUGACUUCUUAAACUAUAGUAUCUGCUAAUCAGUACAUCAUGCAUACACAAGUAUCUAUCUACAUUUAACUUGGCACAUACAAAAUACGGCAGAAUCAGGAGGCUUCGUUUUGCUAAACUUCGAAACAUAUCUCCAUGACUACCUUCAAUCCUUCGAAAGCGUAUUUGUCCAGUCCGUCACCCACCUAGUAGUGAAUAUAUGGCCUCAAGGAAAUGCCACUUUAUUAGGUGAUUUCCUAAUUCAAGUUCCAAGAGUGUUUAUGUAGUAGUAGAUUUCGUUCCAUUACAAAGUUUAUGCCCAUUUGCAGCACUACAAACUCGACAUUGUACAUAUUUAUAUUCAAUCGUCGAUAAUCUGGGGAGUUUACUUGAACUUAAGUGUUCUUUUCUUUAUGUUUUUUGUGAAAGACUAGAUACAGUGUUUGUCUAAUAUGUACGCUGCAGCAUUUUGGUUUCCCAGUGAAUCCUUAUUGUCAGUGUCAAAUCUCUUGUUGCCGUUCAAUAUUAAAGAUGAAUAUUCCCAAAGAUUAUAUGUCACACAACCCAACUUCUAGGCAUGUGCACUUGUUGAGGACUUACACAAGAUAGGAAACAUGCAGUGCAGGUUAGGCCAUCCUACCAAUUGACCUCUCCAUAGAAUCUUUCCAAGUUAACAUUCACUUGGCACAAUCUAGUCAGGGACCAGUUUGUAUCAUCCGAAACUCACAACAGAGCGUCGUGUUUCAUUCAAUACCUACUCCCAUGAUAAAAGAAUUUAUGAGGAUCAUGCAAGUGAGGUUCUAUGUCAGCAUGUGACAUAUCUUGACUGUUGUACAAGUGUGCCGUUGUGCGCCAAUGAUGUAACUUUUUCAUAUCAAGUUCAUAUCACUGAGACUAUGAACUGCAUAAAGUCGUAAGUGUCUUUAUUACUCUUAGAAUUGCUUAGGCAGGAGCUUAAGUGUGUUUUGUUGACAUAAACUAACGAGCAUAUUAUGGUCUCUGUUUAUUUCAGCUACAUGAAUCUAGUGUUGAUCCUGCAGCUUUUGUGGAGUUUGUACUUGGCUUGUCAGGAUAUAUUUUCUCUGAGGAAUAACAGGGAUCUUCAUGCCCCGGAUUUUCUAUUGUUCUUUGUUAUCAUUGAUUGGGUAAGUCGUACACUUUGUCACUGCUAUUGUCCAUGCAACUAUGCCUGGAUUAACUGAAGGCAUGCACUGAAACAACUUAACCCAGUUUUUUUUAUCAACAUUAAUUAGUUCUUACGAAAAGUGAAAUUCAGGAUAAUUGCAACGCAUGCUUCUCUAUUGGCUAAGCUCUUGUUUUGCCUCCCUGUAUGAGAAUAAGACAGCCUUAAAUAGACUUGCUGUUUACCUUUGGUGCUCGGUCGAACUUUGGUGACAAAUUUUCCACAUGAGCAAGAAAUUUUAACAACUGAUAUGCUUUGCAUUACCUUUUGGUUGACCAACGGUAUGUGAGUGAUCACAUCACUUGUGAAUGCAUUGCAGGUCAUGGCAAUUCUCAUGUUCUCUGCAUUCUGUGCCUCUGCCAGCGUGACGAUUUUCUUCAUGAAGGAUAUGAACUUCUGCGCGGAAUACCGGCGUCUGGACUGCAAUCAGUUCACACUUUCAGUCACUCUGGCGUUCUUUACAUGGUUGUUGCAAGCUGCGUCUUCUUUCUCCGGGUUCUGGCUACUGGUUUCCUUCUUCUAGUGAUCUCAUGCGCUCAUAAGCACCGUCAGCAUCGUGCUAACUGUCGGUCAGGAGGAUAAAUCAGUUGCAAUGUCCUCAGGCACACAUCAUACAUUACUUGUUACAUAGAUUGUCUGUUUGAUUGAUAGCUCAGGUGUUGGUUAUGAGCACCUUGAGGUGGAACAAUUACUAUUUACAUGAUGUGGGACCAUUAAUAUGAAGUGUAAUAUAUAGAGAUAAGUCGUGAUCAACUGUACCUAGGGCUGGACAUACGAGCGAGCUUUUAGGCUCGGCUCGAAGCUCGCUCCAGCUCGGCCCGUUAGAGCUCGGCCCGAUAGGAUAAUUAGGCGAGCCGAGCUAUGAAAAUAGGCCCGAUUCCCGACAGAGCCGAGCCGAGUUUCGCCCGGUCCAACUCGGUGACUCGUUCAAGCCCAGCCCAAUCCCGUCGACCUCGCAGGGCGUUAGGUCACAGCGAGCGUGCGACGCAGUUUCCUCACCCUUCUCCCUUUCUCUGGUCGGCUCCGCCACCCCUCUCCUUGCCGCGCUGCAAGCUGCACUCAUCGGGCGCGGCACCGACGGGGACGGCCGACGCCGCUUUCCCUCACCACAGCAGACAUGUCUCCCCUGGUUUCUCACCGAAUGACAUGAGUAGGUAAGCGAUCUCCAUUGUCAGUACCCUAGCGAUGACAAAGGCGUGUGCAAGGGAAGGGAAGCGGAAAGAAGGAGUGGCGAAGGCGUAAAGUAGUGGCGGGAAGGUUCAAGUGCGAUGCGGGCUGCAAUUGGGAAAUAGUGGGCUAGUGGGCCGAGGCAGAAAGCCCAUGUAAACCUGCGUGUUAUAAGCAGGAGAACGUUGGAGAAGGGGAUAUCGAAAACUGUAAUUCAAACCUUACCUCUCGUUUAUCCAGCUUAUCCUCUCUGGUUUCUGUCUCCUACCUUUGCUUCUCUCCUCUGAUCCCGACCCCGAGCUGAAGUCCGUCGCCGGCGAAACUCCUCAGAGUCUAGUCGUGACAAUCUGGUAUUCAGAGCCACCUCCUCGCUCCGCCGUGCGCCAAUUUUUUUUUGCCUGAAUCGUACCCGGUAAAUCCAAGGCGACGGUCGCGGAUCGCCUGAGGGCUUGAUCUGUGUAAAUCCCGAUCUGAGGUGGGUUGAUUUGGGGACAGUUGGCCACAACGACGACAUUCAAGCCGAAUCAGCAGACGCGCUUCAUCGCGGAGGAGAUGGAGGCGUUCUAGGAGCGCAUGCUGAAGGAGUUCGCCGAGAUCCGGGAGGCGCAACGCAAGCUGGAAGUAGUCGAUGGGAUCUGCGCGCAGUUGGUGGCGCUCGACGCCAAGCUGAUGGAGCAAUCGACGCGCCUCGACCAGGUCCAAGUGAUGGUGGAUCUCUCCUGUGACACACUGGGGCAGGUACAACAGAGUCAGUUCCAUAUCGCGCAGAAGGGGAAGCCACCGGAGGUACCAGAGACCUCGUAGCCGACAGCGUCGGAAGUAUCCGAUGGCAUACUCGGCCCCAGGCCGCCGUUCGCGGCUCAGGUGUUGCCUCGUCCAGUUCAGGUACCACCCAGCAACCCUCUAUCCCAACAAGUAGUGCAGUCAGUUCAGGAGGAAAAUUCAGGCAAGCGCAAGUGGAUGCCCAAAAUGGAUUUCCCCCGUUUCGAUGGAUGUGAUGUCAGGAUUUGGUUAGAUAAAUGUGAGGCGUUCUUCAAAUUAUACAAUAUUCCUGACAACUUCAAGGUCACGUACGCUUCAUUGUACUUGAUCGAUAAUGCUGCUAGUUGGUAUCAGGCAUUCAAACAAACCAGCGCCUAUCACACUUGGCCACAGUUCUUUGCAGCAGUUGUGCAGGAAUUUGAUGUAAAUGUGUACAGGCAGCGGAUGAAGGAACUGAUGUCCCUCAAACAGGUGGAAUCAGUGGAAGAGUAUAGGCAAAAGUUCCUCCAACUGGUAUACACAAUCAGGUUGUAUGAACCGUUGAUUAGUGACACCUUCUUAGUCACUCGCUUUAUUAUGGGGCUCAAAUCAGAGCCACGGUCAGCGGUGGAGUUUCAGAUACCAACAACUGUUCAGGCCAUAGCGAUGUAUGCGUCUGUUCAAGAAGGACUGUUGCUGCAGCAGAAAACUGUCAGAUGCAAUUACCAGAAAACUACCUUUACCAAACCUGAAACUAGGCCAGCAUUGGCUACUGGUGAUGUGUGGAAAGCAAAACAGUUGAAAGAAUACCAAAGAGCCAACGGCCUGUGUUAUAAAUCUGGUCCAAAUCACCAGUAUGACUAUCGAAAUCGUGAGCAUCAGCAUGUAGGUUCCAGAUCCAAGUGGUAGUAUCAGGGCCCUUAGCUAGUGUUCUUGAGAAAUGGCCAUAUUUGUCAUUUGCUUUUCGUUUUGAAAACUUGACUUAUCAAAGAGGGGCCAGGGGGCUGGAAGAGAAGAACUUGAAUGCUAAACGCUGGAAGAGAAGAACCUUUUAAGUUCGUUCCUGGUCAUGUAUGUAGUCAGUUGCCUAUGGCUGACGCUCAACUAAAACAACAGAAACAGUGGUGCAGAACAAAAUAAUUUCAGAUGCUCUAUUGGAUGCUCUCAUUGAUCAAUAUACAGCAGACUGUGCUACUAUUUCAGUUACUGCCUUGUCAGGAGCAGCUCAUCCAAAAACCAUACAACUGAGGGCCUUAGUGGGGAACCAGGUGGUGCUCAUCUUAGUGGACUCAGGGAGCACCCACACUUUUGUGGACCAGGCACUGCUCAACAGGGUGUCGGUUACUACAGAAAAGUUGGCUAGACCUAUGCAGGUCAAAGUGGCUAAUGGGGAACAGGUUCAAUGCUCUGAAAGAGUGCCUCAGUUAACCUGGUGGAUUCAGGGACACAACUUCACAAAUGCAAUGCAUGUGCUUCCUCUUGGAGGACAUGAUAUUAUUCUGGGCAUGGAUUGUCUAGAACAAUGGGGAGUGAUGCAAUGUCACUGGGCAGAGAAGUGGAUCCAAUUCAAAUAUUCAGGACAUGAGGUAAAGAUGCAAGGUGUAAUUCGUGUCACACCAGCAGAAAUUAAAGAAGUAACAGCAUAACAACUAUUAAAAUGGGAGAAAGGCAAUGAAGUUUGGGCCACUGUUGUGUUAAACAGAAUUGUAAUGGCACCUGAAACACUAGUACCUCCUGCUGUACAAGAAUUACUGCAACAACAUAACACUGUGUUCAAGGAUCCUCAGACAUUACCUCCUCACAGACCACUGGAUCAUGCCAUUCACCUAAUCCCUGGGGCUGUCCCUGUUAAUUGCAGACCAUACAGGUACUCUCCACUACAGAAGGAUGAAAUAGAGAGACAGGUGUCUAAAAUGCUGAAAGCUGGGUUAAUCACACCAAGCAUUAGUCCUUUUGCUUCUCCUGUUCUCCUGGUAAAGAAGAAGGAUGGAACUUGGAGGUUCUGUGUGGACUAUAGAAAGCUGAAUGACAUUACCAUAAAGAGCAAGUUCCCCUACCAGUAAUUGAUGAAUUACUGGAUGAGUUAGGAGGUGUUAAGUGGUUUUCAAAACUAGAUUUAAAAGCUGGAUAUCAUCAUAUUCGAAUGAAGGAGGAAGAUGAGCACAAGACAACAUUUAAAACACACCAUGGCCAGCUCCAAUUCAGGGUGGUGCCUUUUGGACUGGCUACUGCUUCAGGCACAUUUCAAUGUAAUAUGAAUGUGUUUAUGGCAGGGCCUAACAGAAAAUAUGUGUUGGUAUUCAUGGAUGAUAUCUUGGUAUUCAGCAUCACUCUGGAAGAGCAUGUUCAGCAUUAGAGGUCUGUGUUUGAAAUUCUGGCUGAAAAUCAGUUAUAUGUGAAACAAAGUAAGUGUGUGUUUGCCCAGCAGUCCAUGGAAUAUUUGGACCACAUCAUCUCUGACAAGGGUGUAGCUAUUGAUCCUGCAAAAACAGAAGCUAUGGUCAAUUGUCCUAUACCAACAAAUGUGACUGAGCUACGAGGAUUCUUGGGGUUAACAGGUGUUGGGGAACAUAGCAGAAAUUCAAAAUUUUCCUACGUGUCACCAAGAUCUAUCUAUGGAGAAACCAGCAACGAGGGGAAGAAGAGUGCAUCUACAUACCCUUGUAGAUCGCUAAGCGGAAGCGUACAAGAUAACGGGUUUGAAGGAGUCGUACUCGUCGUGAUCCAAAUCACUGGAGAUCCUAGUGCCGAACGGACGGCACCUCCACGUUCAACACACGUAUAGCCCGGUGACGUCUCCCAUGCCUUGAUCCAGCAAGGAGAGAGGGAGAGGUUGAGGAAGACUCCAUCCAGCAGCAGCACAAUGGCGUGGUGGUGGUGGAGGAGCGUGGCAAUCCUACAGGGCUUCGCCAAGCACCGCGGGAGAGGAGGAGUAAGAGAGGUAGGGCUGCGCCAGGGAGAGGCCAAAACUCAUGUGUUGGCAGCCCUCAAGACCUCAACUAUAUAUAGGGGAGAGGGAGGGGGGUGUGCCCCCUCUAGGGUUUCCACCCCAAGGGGUGCGGCAGCCCCAAUCCCAUCUAAGGGUGGCGGCCAAUGGGGGGGAAGAGGGGAAACUUGCCCCCCAAGUUAGGUGGAAGCCCCCCCUCCCCAAACCCUAGGCGCCUUGGGCCCUUGUGGGGGGCACACCAGACCACCUAGGGCUGGUCCCUUCCCACACUUGGCCCAUGCAGCCCUCCGGGGAUGGUGGCCCCACUUGGUGGACCCCCGGGACCCUCCCGGUGGUCCCGGUACGUUACCGAAAAAACCCGAAACUUUUCCGGUGACCAAAACAGGACUUCCCAUAUGUAAAUCUUUACCUCCGGACCAUUCUGGAACUCCUCGUGAUGUCCGGGAUCUCAUCCAGGACUCCGAACAACAUUCGGUAACCACAUACAAACUUCCUUUAUAACCCUAGCGUCAUCGAACCUUAAGUGUGUAGACCCUACGGGUUCGGGAACCAUGCAGACAUGACCGAGACGUUCUCCGGUCAAUAACCAACAGCGGGAUCUGGAUACCCAUGUUGUCUCCCACAUGUUCCACGAUGAUCUCAUCGAAUGAACCACGAUGUCAAGGACUCAAUCGAUCCCGUAUACAAUUCCCUUUGUCUAGCGGUAUGGUACUUGCCCGAGAUUCGAUCGUCGGUAUCCUGAUACCUUGUUCAAUCUCGUUACCGGCAAGUCUCUUUACUCGUUCCGUAACACAUCAUCCCGUGAUUAACCCCUUGGUCACAUUGUGCACAUUAUGAUGAUGUCCUACCGAGUGGGCCCAGAGAUACCUCUCCGUUACACGGAGUGACAAAUCCCAGUCUCCAUUUGUGCCAACCCAACAGACACUUUCGGAGAUACCUGUAGUGCACUUUUAUAGCCACCCAGUUACGUUGUGACGUUUGGUGCACCCAAAGCAUUCCUAUGGUAUCCGGGAGUUGCACAAUCUCAUGGUCUAAGGAAAUGAUACUUGACAUUAGAAAAGCUUUAGCAUACGAACUACACGAUCUUUAGUGCUAGGCUUAGGAUUCGGUCUUGUCCAUCACAUCAUUCUCCUAAUGAUAUGAUCCCGUUAUCAACGACAUCCAAUGUCCAUGGUCAGGAAACUGUAACCAUCUAUUGAUCAACGAGCUAGUCAACUAGAGGCUUACUAGGGACAUGGUGUUGUCUAUGUACCCACACAUGUAUCUGAGUUUCCUAUCAAUACAAUUAUAGCAUGGAUAAUAAACGAUUAUCAUGAACAAGGAAAUAUAAUAAUAACUAAUUUAUUAUUGCCUCUAGGGCAUAUUUCCAACAGUAUCCCACUUGCACUAGAGUCAAUAAUCUAGUUCAGAUCGCCAUGUGAUUAACACUGACAGGUCACAUCGCCAUGUGACCAACAUCCAAAGAGUUUACUAGUGUCACUAAACUAGUUCACAUCAUCAUGUGAUUAAGACUCAAUGAGUUCUGGGGUUUGAUUAUGCUUUGCUUGUGAGAGAGGUUUUAGUCAACGGAUCUGCAACAUUCAGAUCCGUAUGUACUUUGCAAAUCUCUAGGUCAUAUUGUAAAUGUUGCUUCCACGCUCCACUUGGAGCUAUUCCAAAUGGUUGCUCCACUAUACGUAUCCGUUUUGCUACUCAGAGUCAUUCGGAUAGGUAUUAAAGCUUGCAUCGACGUAACCCUUUACACCGAACUCUUUAUCACCUCCAUAAUCGAGAAAGAUGUCCUUAUUACUCCUAGGACAAUUUUGACCGCUAUUUGGUGAUCCACUCCUUGAUCACCUUUGUACCCUCUUGCCAGACAUGUGGCAAGGAACACAUCAGGUGCGGUACUUAGCAUAGCAUACUGUAGAGCCUACAUCUAAAGCAUAGGGGAUGACCUUCAUCCUUUCUCUCUCUUCUGCCGUGGUCGAGCUUUAAGUCUUAACUUCAUACCUUACAACUCAGGCAAGAACUCCUUCUUUGACUGAUCCAUCUUGAACACCUUCAAGAUGACGUCAAGGUAUGUGCUCAUUUGAAAGUAUUAUUGAGCGGUUUUUGAUCUAUCCUCAUAGAUCUUGAUGCUCAAUGUUCAAGCAGCUUAAUCCAGGUUUUCUAUUGAAAAACACUUUUCAAAUAACCCUAUAUGCUUUCUAGAAAUUCUACUUCAUUUCUGAUCAAUAAUAUGUCAACAACAUAUACUCAUCAGAAAUUCUAUAGUGCUCCCACUCACUUCUUUGGAAAUACAAGUUUUUCAUAAACUUUGUAUAGACCCAAAAUCUUUGAUCAUCUCAUCAAAGCGUAGAUUCCAACUCCGAGAUGCUUACUCCAGUCCUUAGAAGGAUUGCUGGAGCUUUGCAUACUUGUUAGCGUCUUUCAGGAUUGUCAAAAACCUUCUGGUUGUAUCACAUACAACCUUUCCUCAAGAAAACUGUCAAGGAAACAAUGUUUUGACAUCCUAUAUGCAAGAUUUCAUAAAUAAUGCAGUAACUGCUAAUCCAAUUCCAACAGACUCUUAGCAUUGCUACGAGUGAGAAAACCUCACCGUAGUCAACUCCUUGAACUUGUCGGAAAACAUCUUUAACGACAAGUCGAGCUUUCUUAAUGGUGAUACUUACCAUCAUUGUCUGUCUUCCUUUUAAAAUCCAUCUUUACCCAACGGCCUUACGACCAUCAAGUAUUUCUUCCAAAGUCAUGGAUCCUCUCUCGGAUUUUAUGGCCUUGAGCCAUUCAUCAGAAUUCGGGCCCACCAUCGCUUCUCCAUAGCUCGUAGGUUCAUUGUUGUCUAGCAACAUGACCUCUAAGACAGGAUUGCGUACCACUCUGAAGUAGUACGCGUCCUUGUCGACCUACGAAGUUCGGUAGUGACUUGAUCCGAAGCAUCAUGAUCACUAUCAUCAGCUUCCGCUUCAAUUGGUGUAGGUGCCACAUGAACAACUUCCUGUGUCCUGCUACACACUGGUUGAAGUGAUGGUUCAAUAGCCUCAUCAAGUCUCCACCAUCCUCCCACUCAAUUCUUUCGAGAGAAACUUUUCCUCGAGAAAGGACCCGUUUCUAGAAACAAUUACUUUUGCUUCCUGAUCUGAGAUAGGAGGUAUACCCAACUGUUUUGGGUGUCCUAUGAAGAUGCAUUUUUAUUCGCUUUGGGUUCGAGCUCAUCAACCUGAAACUUUUUCACAUAAGCGUCGCAGCCCCAAACUUUUAAGAAACGACAACUUAGGUUUCUCCAAACCAUAGUUCAAACGGUGUCGUCUCAACGGAAUUACGUGGUGCCCUAUUAAAGUGAGUGCGGUUGUCUCUAAUGCCUAACCCAUGAACGAUAGUGGUAAUUCGAUAAGAGACAUCAUGGUACGCACCAUAUCCAAUAGGGUGUAACUAUGAUGUUCGGACACACCAUCACCCUAUGGUGUUCCAGGCGGUAUUAAUUGUGAAACAGUUUCCACAAUGUCUUAAUUGAGUGCCAAAGCUCGUAACUCAGAUACUCAUCUCUAUGAUCAUAUCAUAGACAUUUUAUCCUCUUGUCACGAUGAUCUUUAACUUCACUCUGAAAUUACUUGAACCAUUCAAUAAUUCAGACUUGUGUUUCAUCAAGUAAAUAUACUCAACAUCUACUCGAAUCAUCUGUGAAGUAAGAACAUAACGAUAUUUAAUGCAUGCCUCAGCACUCAUUGGACUGCACACAUCAAAAUGUGUUACUUCCAACAAGUUGCUAUCUUGUUCCAUCUUACUGAAACCGAGGCUUUUCAGUCAUCUUGCCCAUGUGGUAUGAUUUGCAUAUCUCAAGUGAUUUAAUAUCAAGUGAGUCCAAACGAUCCAUCUGCAUGGAGUUUCUUCAUGCGUAUACACCAAUAGACAUGGUUCGCAUGUCUCAAACUUUUCAAAACGAGUGAGUCCAAAGAUCCAUCAACAUGGAGCUUCUUCAUGCGUUUUACCCCAUUAUGACUUACGUGGCAGUGCUACAAGUAAGUGGUACUAUCAUUACUAUCUUAUAUCUUUUGGCAUGAAAAUGUGUAUCACUACGAUCGAGAUUCAAUAAACCAUUCCUUUAGGUGCAAGACCAUUGAAGGUAUUAUUCAAAUAAAUAGAGUAACCAUUAUUCUCCUUAAAUGAAUAACUGUAUUGCAAUAGACAUAAUCCAAUUAUGUCUAUGUUCAACGCAAACAUCAAAUGACAAUUAUUCAGGUUUAAUACUAAUCUUGAUGGUAGAGGGAGCGUGCGAUGUUUGAUCACAUCAAACUUGGAAACACUUCCAACACAUAUUGUCAGCUCACCUUUAGCUAGUCUCCGUUUAUUCCGUAGCUCUUUUAUUUCGAGUUACUAACACUUAGCAACCGAACCGGUAUCUUAAUACCCUGGUGCUACUAGGAGUACUAGUAAAGUACACAUUAACAUAAUGUAUAUCCAAUAUACUUCUAUCGACCUUGCCAGCCUUCUCAUAUACCAAGUAUCUAGGGUAAUUUUGCUCCAGUGGCUGUUCCCCUUAUUACAGAAGCACUUAGUCUCGGGUUUGGGUUCAACCUUGGGUUUCUUCAUUAGAGCAGCAGCUGAUUUGCUGUUUCAUGAAGUAUCCCUUCUUGCCCUUUCCCUUUUUGAAACAGUGGUUUCACCAACCAUCAACAAUUGAUGCUCCUUCUUGAUUUCUACUUUCGCGGUGUCAAACAUCGCGAAUACCUCAAGGAUCAUCAUAUCUAUCCCUGAUAUGUUAUAGUUCAUCACGAAGCUCUAGCAGCUUGGUGGCAAUGACUUUGGAGAAACAUCACUAUCUCAUCUGGAAGAUCAACUCCCACUUGAUUCAAGUGAUUGUUGCACUCAGACAAUCUGAGCACAAGCUCAACGAUUGAGCUUUUCUCCCUUAGUUUGCAGGCUAAGAAAAUCGUCGGAGGUCUUAUACCUCUUGACGCGGGCACGAGCCUGAAAUCCCAAUUUCAGCCCUCAAAACAUCUCAUAUGUUCCGCGACAUUUCGAAAACGUCUUUGGUGCCUCAACUCUAAACCGUUUAACUGAACUAUCACGUAGUUAUCAAAACGUGUAUGUCCGAUGUUUGCAACAUCCACAGACGAUGUUUGGGGUUCAACACACUGAGCGGUGCUUUAAGGACAUAAGCUUUCUAUUGUCCGCAUAAUCGCUACUAUCAACUUUCAACUAUAUUUUCUCUAGGAACAUAUCUAAAAUAGUAGAAAUUUGCAAAGGGUCUUUUGACUAUGUUCAGGAUAAUUAAGUUCAUCUUAUGGACUCCCACUCAGAUAGACAUCCCUCUAGUCAUCUAAGUGAUUACAUGAUCCGAGUCAACUAGGCCGUGUCCGAUCAUCACGUGAGACGGACUAGUCAUCAUCGGUGAACAUCUUCAUGUUGAUCGUAUCUACUAUACGACUCAUGCUCGACCUUUCGGUCUCUUGUGUUCUGAGGCCAUGUCUGUACAUGCUAGGCUCGUCAAGUCAACCUAAGUGUUUCGCGUGUGUAAUCUGGCUUACACCCAUUGUAUGUGAACGUAAGAAUCUAUCACACCCGGUCAUCACGUGGUGCUUCCAAACGACGAAUUUCGCAACAGUGCACAGUUAGGGGGAACACUUUCUUGAAAUUUUAAUGAGGGAUCAUCUUAUUUACUACCGUCGUUUUAAGCAAAUAAGAUGCAUAAACAUGAUAAACAUCACAUGCAAUCAAAUAGUGACAUGAUAUGGCCAAUAUCAUUUUGCUCCUUUUGAUCUCCAUCUUUGGGGCUCCAUGAUCAUCGUCGUCACCGGCAUGACACCAUGAUCUCCAUCAUUGUGUCUCCAUGAAGUUGUCUCGCCAACUUAUUACUUCUACUACUAUGGCUACCGGUUGGCAAUAAAGUAAAGUAAUUACAUGGCAUUGUUCAAUGACACACAGGUCAUACAAUAAAUUAAGACAACUCCUAUGGCUCCUGCCGGUUGUCAUACUCAUCGACAUGCAAGUCGUGAUUCCUAUUACAAGAACAUGAUCAAUCUCAUACAUCACAUAUCAUUCAUCACAUUCUUCUUGGCCAUAUCACAUCACAUAGCAUACCCUGCAAAAACAAGUUAGACGUCCUCUAAAUGUUGUUUGCAUGUUUUACGUGGCUGCUAUGGGUUUCUAGCAAGAACGUUUCUUACCUACGCAAAACCACAACGUGAUAUGCCAAUUGCUAUUUACCCUUCAUAAGGACCCUUUUCAUCGAAUCCGUUCCAACUAAACUGGGAGAGACUAGCACCCGCUAGCCACCUUAUGCACCAAGUGCAUGUCAGUCAGUGGAACCUGUCUCACGUAAGAGUACAUGUAAGGUCGGUUCGGGCCGCUUCAUCCCACAAUACCGUCGAAACAAGAUUGGACUAGUAACGGUAAGCAUAUUGAACAAAAUCAACGCCCACAACUACUUUGUGUUCUACUCGUGCAAAUAAUCUACGCAAUAGACCUAGCUCAUGAUGCCACUGUUGGGGAACGUAGCAGAAAUUCAAAAUUUUCCUACGUGUCACCAAGAUCUAUCUAUGGAGAAACCAGCAACGAGGGGAAGGAGAGUGCAUCCACAUACCCUUGUAGAUCGCUAAGCGGAAGCGUUCAAGAGAACGGGGUUGAAGGAGUCGUACUCGUCAUGAUCCAAAUCACCGGAGAUCCUAGUGCCGAACGGACGGCACCUCUGCGUUCAACACACGUACAGCCCGGUGACGUCUCCCAUGCCUUGAUCUAGCAAGGAGAGAGGGAGAGGUUGACGAAGACUCCAUCUAGCAGCAGCACAAUGGCGUGGUGGUGGUGGAGGAGCGUGGCAAUCCUGCAGGGCUUCGCCAAGCACCAUGGGAGAGGAGGAGUAAGAGAGGUAGGGAUGCGCCAGGGAGAGGUCAAAACUCAUGUGUUGGCAGCCCUCAAGACCUCAACUAUAUAUAGGGGAGAGGGAGGGGGUGCGCCCCCUCUAGGGUUUCCACCCCAAGGGGUGCGGCAGCCCCAAUCCCAUCUAAGGGUGGCGGCCAAGGGGGGGGGAAGAGGGGAAACUUGCCCCCCAAGUUAGGUGGAAGCCCCCCCUCCCCAAACCCUAGGCGCCUUGGGCCCUUGUGGGGGGGCGCACCAGCCCACCUGGGGCUGGUCCCCUCCCACACUUGGCCCAUGCAGCCCUCCGGGGAUGGUGGCCCCACUUGGUGGACCCCCGGGACCCUCCUGGUGGUCCCGGUACGUUACCGAAAAAACCCGAAACUUUUCCCGUGACCAAAACAGGACUUCCCAUAUAUAAAUCUUUACCUUCGGACCAUUCCGGAACUCCUCGUGAUGUCCGGGAUCUCAUCCGGGACUCCGAACAACAUUCGGUAACCACAUACAAACUUCCUUUGUAACCCUAGCAUCAUCGAACCUUAAGUGUGUAGACCCUACGGGUUCGGGAACCAUGCAGACAUGACCGAGACGUUCUCCGGUCAAUAACCAACAGCGGGAUCUGGAUACCCAUGUUGUCUCCCACAUGUUCCACGAUGAUCUCAUCGGAUGAACCACGAUGUCAAGGACUCAAUCGAUCCCGUAUACAAUUCCCUUUGUCUAGCGGUAUGGUACUUGCCCGAGAUUCGAUCGUCGGUAUCCUGAUACCUUGUUCAAUCUCGUUACCGGCAAGUCUCUUUACUCGUUCCGUAACACAUCAUCCCGUGAUCAACCCCUUGGUCACAUUGUGCACAUUAUGAUGAUGUCCUACCGAGUGGGCCCAGAGAUACCUCUCCGUUACACGGAGUGACAAAUCCCAGUCUCCAUUUGUGCCAAGCCAACAGACACUUUCGGAGAUACCUGUAGUGCACCUUUAUAGCCACCCAGUUACGUUGUGACGUUUGGUGCACCCAAAGCAUUCCUACGGUAUCCGGGAGUUGCACAAUCUCAUGGUCUAAGGAAAUGAUACUUGACAUUAGAAAAGCUUUAGCAUACGAACUACACGAUCUUUAGUGCUAGGCUUAGGAUUGGGUCUUGUCCAUCACAUCAUUCUCCUAAUGAUGUGAUCCCGUUAUCACCGACAUCCAAUGUCCAUGGUCAGGAAACUGUAACCAUCUAUUGAUCAACGAGCUAGUCAACUAGAGGCUUACUAGGGACAUGGUGUUGUCUAUGUACCCACACAUGUAUCUGAGUUUCCUAUCAAUACAAUUAUAGCAUGGAUAAUAAACGAUUAUCAUGAACAAGGAAAUAUAAUAAUAACUAAUUUAUUAUUGCCUCUAGGGCAUAUUUCGAACAACAGGUUACUACAGGAAGUUUGUCAAAAAUUAUGGCCUGUUGGCUCGACCUCUAACUGUCCUACUGAAGAAACAAGCCUUUCAGUGGUCUGACAUAGCUCAAGCAGCCUUUCAAUAGUUGAAACAUGCUAUGGCUACAACUCCUAUCUUGGCUCUACCUAAUUUUGAAAAAACUUUCACAGUGGAGACAGAUGCAUGUAAUACUGGAGUAGGAGCUUUGCUCUCUCAGGAGGGGCACCCCAUUGCUUACUACAGCAAGGCACUAGGCACAGCUAGUCAGAAAUUGAGCAUCUAUGAGAAAGAGUUUCUGGCAAUCAUGAUGGCCAUUGAGAGGUGGAGAUCUUACUUAGCCAGAGCACCUUUUGUAAUUAAAACAGAUCAUCAAAGUCUCUGUCAAUUAGGGGAUCAACUUCUGACAUCAGAUUUGCAGAGAAAAGCAAUGACAAAAAUGGUAGGCCUUUAGUUCACUAUUCAGUACAAAAAGGGAGUGGAGAAUACUGCAGCAGAUGCACUUUCCAGAGUGGCCCAUCUGUUUCCUGUCUAGGCACUGUCAACUAGCAAACCUGUCUGGAUACAGGAAGUGUUGAAUUCUUAUACAGGUGAUCCUGCUGCACAGGAGAUGUUGCAGAAACUGGCACUAGAUAGCAAAGCUUGUCUAGGAUUUCAUUUGAAAGAGGGGCUCAUUAAACAUGAAGAUAAAAUUUGGAUUGGAGCUAAUACAGGUCUGUAAAAAAAGCACAUUCAAGCUUUUCACUCCUCACCAGUGGGAGGGCACUCUGGCAUACUUUCUACUUACCACAGAGUUAAGCAGCUAUUCGGUUGGACUCGUAUGAAAACAGACGUCGAGAACUUUGUAAAGCAGUGUAACACUUGUCUGCAGGCUAAACAUGAGCUGUGCAAAUCACCCGAGCUGCUACAACCUGGUACUGUACCAGAUCGGCCAUGGCAGGCUAUUAGAAUGGACUUCAUUGAGGGAUUGCAUAAAUCAGAGGGAUUUAGUGCUAUUCUAGUGGUUGUGGAUCGCUUUACCAAAGUCAGUCAUUUUCUGCCCUUAAAACACCCGUUUACAGCAGCAUCUGUGGCUAAAGUCUUUCUCAAUAACAUCGUCAAACUACAUGGACUGCCCCUGUCCAUUGUUUCUGAUAGAGAUAAGAUCUUUACAAGUGCCUUUUGGAAAGAAUUGUUUCGAGUGUGGGGCACUGAGCUCACUACAAGAAAUAUGUCAACUUAUGACCUUCUGUCAGUGACCCUGGAAGAAUUGGUCAUAGAUUUAUGACCAUUUGAGACCAAUUGGUCAAAAGCUAUUCGAGGGGCUUCAAACCCUAAAUCAUUGCGACCAUUUUGGUCAGAAAGGUCAUAAUUUCCUUACACGAAAUGGUCAUAAAGCAAACAUCGCUAGUCUGCUGCCUUAUUUCUAGUUGUUAACGACCAAUAUAGAUGGUCAUAGCUUUGUAAAUUGUGGUGGGUUGCUAUGACUAGGCGCCACCUCAUCAGUUUUGCCUAUGUGUCAUGUCCAUGUGGCAGUUUUGCCCUAGGUUGUGAAGCAACCUAUAUUUCUGUAAUUCCCAAAAUUCCCCAAAAAAUCUCAUAUAUUCUUUGGGUCAUAUCUUUGUCAAAUAUGUAAAAACCUUCCUUGCCUAGUUCAAAAAUAAUUCAAAAAUAUUCAUUUUCCUAUUCUGUUCAAAACAACAGUUUGUGAAGGAAGUACCACUUUGGCAUCUCCAAAUAGUAUCCAUUUUCUACAGUGCUUUCCUAUGCCCAAAUAACCAUCCUCCACCAAAUGCCAGCUCAAGCCAUUCAUUAUUUUGAGCUGAGCUUCAACAUUCGUAUUUAUGUCCAGUGUGGUAGCUUGCAAAGCAAGUACCACAUAGGCUCCUCCUUUUGAGCUGAAAACUUGUGAAGACGGUCUUCUUAGUAACUGAUCAUCAUCAGCCAAAACUCACGCCCAUUAGCCAUGUACAUUUCACGUACCGCAAAUCAAACACUUGGCUACUAAUUCAUGUUUGAGCAUCGAUCGGUCUCCUCGUGAGAAUCUUAAGUUGUAAUUUUCUUCCUAGCACCUACCUGGGGAGUGACCAACCCACUAGACAUGCCUAGACCGCCCAGAACACAUGGCAACGCCACGGUCACGCGGUGACCAUGCGGCGGGCAUGCGAGUUUACACGCUCUAGAGUUGGGGGCCUCGGCCACCGCCCAAACCUCGACGUAUCGCCACCAUACCAUGUAUUUAUGAUUAAAUAGGUACUUAUGUAACUAGAAAUGAUUUUUGGAUAAAAUAAAUAGCAAACUAUGAGGCAGCUGCAGUUCAAAUUUGACCCGCUUCCAGCUAAAUCGGCGAAAAUUUGUCUUUUUCACGAGAGGUGGAUCAAAACUUUUUACACCAACCAUUUUGUCAAUUGUGCAUUAAAUAUGUCCUAGUAUUUUAUAAAAAUGAUUUGGUCCAAUUUUGCAACCAUUAUUUUGGAGGUCCUUCACAAAAAAAACUUCCUUUUGGGCACUCGAAAAAUUGGAAAUGGUUUUUUCGUUCAAAGAAAAAUAAAAACUUCCUUAGGAAACAUUGUUUGACAUUCCAAUAUGCACCCUUGUGCACAAUAUGAGAUCAUUUGAACAAACUAUGCCAUGAAUGUGGCCAUAAGAUUGAUCAUUUGGCUUGAAAGCCAUGAAUCUUCACACUUGAUAGCUCAUUUCUGAGAACACUUUUUUAAAAUAAUUACCGUAUUACAAGUUUAUUAUUUUUCCUGGAAACUUGGUCACAUAUAAUGACACAAUGCGAAGGUUUUCCAAUUUUUUGAUUUUUUUUUGAAUUUUUUAUGCCCGUUUCAAAAUGCGGUCAAAACAGCGGGCUUGACCGUUCCAUGCUAGUGGUUGAAUCUUGGAAAACUUUUGAUGUUUCUCUGAUUAAAUAGAUACUUAUGUACCUAGAAAUGGUUUUUGGAAAAAAUAAAUAACAAACUAUGAGGCAGCUGCAGUUCAAAUUUGACCCGCUUCCAACUGAAUCGACGACAAUUUGUCUUUUUCACCAGAGGUGGAUCAAAACUUUUUUCACCCAACCAUUUUGUCAAUAGUGCAUUAAAUAUGUCCUAGUAUUUUAUAAAAUUGAUUUGGUCCAUUUUUGCAACAAUUAUUUGGUAGUUCCUUCACAAAAAAACCUCCUUUUGGGCACUCGGAAAAUGAAAAAUGAAAUUUCCGUGCAAAGAAAAUGAAAACUUCCUUACGCAACAUUGUUUGGAAUUCCAAGAUGUACCCUUGUGCACAAUAUGAGAUCAUUUGAACAAACUAUGCCAUGAAUGUGGCCAUAAGAUUGAUCAUUUGGCUUGAAAGCCAUGAAUCUUCACGCAUGAUAGCUCAUUUCUGAGAACACUUUUUUAAAAUAAUUUCCGUAUUACAAGUUUAUUGUUUUUCCUGGAAACUUGGUCACAUAUAAUGACACAAUGCGAAGGUUUCCCAAUUUUUUGAUUUUUUUGAAUAUUUUAUGCCCGUUUCAAAAUGCGGUCAAAACGGCGGGAAUGACCGUUCAUAGCUAGUGGUUGAAUCUUGGAAUUUUUUUGGUGUUUCUCUGAUUAAAUAUAUACUUAUGUAUCUAGAAAUGAUUUUUGGAAAAAAUAAAUAGCAAACUAUGAGGCAGCUUCAGUUCAAAUUUGACCCGUUUCCAACUGAAUCGGCGGAAAUUUGUCUUUUUCACGAGAGGUGGAUCAAAAAUUUUUGCACCCAACCAUUUUGUCAAUUGUGCAUUAAAUAUGUCCUAGUAUUUUAGAAAAUUGAUUCGGUCCCAUUUUGCAACAAUUAUUCGGUAGUUCCUUCACAAAAAAACCUCCUUUUGGGCACUCGGAAAAUGAAAAAUGGUUUUUUCGUGCAAAGAAAGUGAAAACUCCCUUAGGCAACAUUGUUUGGAAUUCCAAUAUGCACCCUUGUGCACAAUAUGAGAUCAUUUGAACAAACUAUGUCAUGAAUGUGGCCAUAAGAUUGAUCAUUUGGCUUGAAAGCCAUGAAUCUUCACGCAUGAUAGCUCAUUUCUGAGAACACUUUUUUAAAAUAAUUUCCGUAUUACAAGUUUAUUAUUUUUCCUGGAAACUUGGUCAUAUAUAAUGACACAAUGCGAAGGUUUUCCAAUUUUUUGAUUUUUUUGAAUUUGUUAUGCCCGUUUCAAAAUGCGGUCAAAACGGCGGGCUUGACCGUUCCUAGCUAGUGGUUGAAUCUUGGAAUUUUUUUGGUGUUUCUAUGAUUAAAUAGAUACUUAUUUACCUAGAAAUGAUUUUUGAAAAAAAUAAAGAGCAAACUACAAGGUAGCUACAGUUCAAAUUUGACCCGCUUCCAACUGAAUCGGCGGAUAUUUGUCUUUUUCACGAGAGGUGGAUAAAAGCUUUGGACACUCAACUAUUUGGCAGUUGUGCAUUAUAUAUGGCCUAUUAUUUUAGAAAAUUGAUUUGGUAAAAUUUUACAACAAAUAUAUAGUAUGUCCUUCACAAAAAAACUCAUUUUGGACACUUUAAAAAUGGAAAAUGAUUUAAAAAAACUAAUUUUCCUAACUCUUUUAAAAGAUAUUUGUCUUAUUUCGAUUUGUCAUUAUUCCUGAAAACUAAGGUCAAAUUUGAUGAAACAUGAGAAGGUAUUUUAUUUUUAUUUUUAUUUUUCAGAUCAUAAAAUAGCCAAUAUGAUUUAGCACCUUACUUUUAGUCGAUUACGACCAAUUUAGAUGGUCAAAAAAUGUAGUACUGAUAUACUGUGUUCUGAUUGGUCCAGGACCAUCUCACGCGGAUCGUGCCUAAUCACCGUCGGAUGCUCCUGAUCCAACGGCCCGCCUGUCUCACCCACGUCGCCCAACCCACAACCCGCACUCCCUCCCACACACCCAACCGCACCCAACCCCUCGUGCCCUCCUCUCUCUCUCUCUCGAACCCUAGCGCUCCACUCCUCCCUGGCCGCCGCCACCUCCGGCGCCCUCUGUCCGCCACCACCUCCGUCGCCCUCUGUCCCGCGAGAUCCAUAUUGAUCGAUCCCCUCCAAUCCGCCACCACCUCUGGCGCCCUCUGUCCGGCGAGAUCCAUAUGGAUCGAUCCCCUCCAACCCUCCAACCCACGACUCCUCCUCCUCUCUGGAUCUCUGGAUCGACCCAACCGCCAGCCCCAAUUUGUUCGUUCAGUUAAUCGGCUCGGCUCCAUCGGCACGCCAAAUCUCCACGACCAGCCGCCUUUCCCUCCCGUAGACGACAUGCCUAGGAAGGAGCGCGACGCCGAGGGCAGCCGGAUCUCGUCACGGCGGCGGCGGCGGCGGUCGCCGUCCGACUCGGACUCCGACUCCGACUCUGGUGGCUCGCCCCGCCGGGGCUGGAGCCGCCACCGCCGCAGGAGCCGCCGCAAGGCCGCCCCGUCCUCCUCCUCCUCCUCCUCCAGCGGCGCGAGCGAUUUGCAGGCGUCCGGCUCCGGCUCCGACUCCGGGGACCGCCGAAGGAGGCGGAGCGGGAGCGCCAAGCGCGGGGGCGUCAUCGAGGAGCAAAUCCUGGAGUACAUGUCCAAGAAGGCGCAGAAGAAGGUGGGGGUUUCUGCUCGGCUGCCUUCCUGCCCCGCGCCUAGGGUUUCCGUUGCUAACUUGUUUGUCGAUGGUGUUGCUUCUGCAGGCCGAGAAGGUGGCCAAGAAGAUGAAGGCCAACGCGGUGUCGGGCUACUCCAACGAUUCCAACCCUUUUGGCGAUCCCAACCUCACAGAGAAGUAUGCGCAUUCGGCCCCUCCUCCGAUAACAUUACACAUUGCAUUGGUGAUGCUUGCUUUACCAGUAGAAACUUGGGUUGGCACCUGUUUGCUUAUAUGCUCCUAACUUUGCUGUUACAACCGAUAACAUUACACAUUUCUGCUCCUAACUUUGCUGUUACAAACGUUGUACUUCUUCAUUUGUUUGCCGGUUGUCCUAAUUAUGUACAAUUUGUGGUCCACUUUCAGAGCAAUCUAUAGUGUUGCAAACUGAAUUACUACUGCUUUGUCUUAUGGAUACAAAUCUGAAAAGAAUUUUAUGCGAGCACAGAUAAACCAUCCACCUUUGAUGAUUUCUACAGUGGGAAUGAGGCCUUGCUUAUUUGUAAAUAGCUUUGGAAGUCAAUUAGUAGCCUAAGUAUCUUGUGUGUAUGCUUAUAUGCUUUAUGGCAUAUUUCCUGUACCAACAAUAUAAUAUAAAUGUGUGAGUAUACCUUCUGUUGUCAAAGCAGAGAGUAGUUCCUUGUAAUUUCAGUUUAUCUUCUGGAGUGUCAUUUCAGUUAAUCUUCUGCUGAUGCUACUUAGUAUGUGCUCACAUAUUCAUGCUGGAAAGAUAAUAAUGUUGUUAGAUUGCUUACUGUUCUUUCAUUUCUGCAUACGGCUUACUCUGUUUCCCCGCACUCUUCAUAUGCCUGUUUCCGAGGGAGUGCUUUUGUUUCAUGCGCGAUAAACUGGCCGUUGCUAACUUGUCUUUGGCGUCUUGUAUGGAGCAGUAGCUGACAGCGACUGACUGUGUGGAGCAACAGUUUGUCUUGCUUCUGUCCUGCUAUGGAUGAAUACUUCUUGAAUGCAUCUUGUCUUUGGUUCAUUUUGUAGUACAGUAGAAUGGAUGCAUAUGCUCUGUACGUGUUCAUCUCUUCAAAUUUGUGCAACAGCAGUUUGGAGCUUCCAUUCUGGUAUGGUGUCUUUGCUUAAUUUGUACUACUAUUAGAAUGCAGACAUUGCUUUGGUCCCAAAUAAUCUGUUGCUUGCUUCGGAUAAGUUGACAUGUUGUGCAUAUAAUCUGCGUGAAGUUGUGAACAACAACAGAUACAGAGCUGGCCUCUUUGUUUUUCACGAAGAGCCUGCUGCAGCUUUUCUGUUGCCAUUGACUGAAAUUGUCGGCCUCCCAAUUCUUAUCCAACCUGUUACUGCUCCUGGCAAACUGAAUUGCUGGCCUCCCCUUGCUUGCUUCAUCUCUCGCAUUUCUGUUAGAUGCUCUACUUCUUAGUAGUGGGUGGGGGUCUUGUUGCUUGUCUCUGUCUGGAUCCGGCAUGUGCCAGCCUCAUGAUGCCAACAUGUUUGUUGUAAAAACCUUAUCAAUGCUGAAUCGUUCAAACAUUAAUAUGCUUGCUAGACUAACCAAUCUUAUGGCUCAACUAAUUGAUGGCAGCCAAAUUCCGCUAGUCUUGCCUUCAUCUCCGAGGCAGGCAGGCGCAUCGGACGAUGCACUAGCCUCUCCGCCGCCUUUCCUUUUAUUUAGAACGACGCUUCAUCCCAUCCGGCUGUUACGACAACGUUAGGCCAACAUGCUCAUGUUUUAGUUUACCCACUCCUAGCUAGCAAAGCAGAUGUCUUGUUUCCUUCUUCUUUGAUUUGUUUGAGUACUAUCUGCACGUUAGUUUUUUCGUUGAUUAGUUGGUAUUUUCUGCUCAUCUAUGUUUGACAUAUAUUUGUUCUAUUUGAAGGUGCAGAUUGUAUAAGAUGGGAAAUGGACAACUCCAACCAUUCCAAACUAGUUCAAGGGGCCAUGGAAACAAAAGGUACACCAUGAACUAUCUCAUGGUAAUAUGACUAGGUAGUCUAUUUGCUUAGACAAGCAGCGAUGUGUAUUACAAGUUCUGAGCUGAGAUUUCUGUGUAUUCAGAAUAUCAAGAACCUAAACAACAAGGGCAAAGUGGAAGGCACUCUGGUCGACAACCCAGGUAACCUGAGCUUACGCACUGCUAUACUUUCUUUCGAACUUAUUCUUUGAAAAUUCAAAGCUUAUGCAGUUUUGCUACAAGUACCAUAAUUUGCAUUGAAGAUAUUGUAUUCUGUUGCUGUAUCAUUGUUUAAUAAAACCACAGCAUGAUGCUCACAUGAGAUAUACACAUGUUUCUGUGCUGUUUGAUUCAAGCUUACUCUCGUUAUAAUGUAUUCUAUUGCUGUUUUGCUACAAGCUGUGUGUUGAUUUGAUAACAGGAGUUUCCUUGUCCUGGUCCUAUACUGCAUUUUGACUCCUAUGUUUCUGUGCGCGUGUUUUAAUUGAUGUUGUUUCGACUUUGAAAUGCUUCUGCAUAUGGCCUAUACUGCAAUUGAGAUUUAAAUUUGUGGUUGUUCCGCUUUUACAGAUGCUCAAGUGUGAAGUGUGAAGCAAGUGUGAAGCCGUGAAGUGUGAAGCCGUCAAGUUCUACUUAGUAAAGAGUAGCAUAUUGUAGCAUAUAUGUGUUGUAAAGAUUGUAAUAGAUUUAUUUAGUGGUAUAUUUGAUGAAAUUUAUGUGUUCUUUUUGAUUAUGUAUGUGAUCUGAAAACUUGUGAAAUGGAAACUUGACCAAU